This 584-nucleotide ribosomal RNA is filed under the name Brevundimonas naejangsanensis. RNAcentral describes it as "bacterial SSU rRNA". It matches the Rfam family "Bacterial small subunit ribosomal RNA", at positions 129 to 747 of the family's 1533-position model. The record is from RNAcentral. Lineage: Bacteria; Pseudomonadati; Pseudomonadota; Alphaproteobacteria; Caulobacterales; Caulobacteraceae.
CCUUUUGGUUCGGAAUAACUCAGGGAAACUUGUGCUAAUACCGAAUGUGCCCUUCGGGGGAAAGAUUUAUCGCCAUUAGAGCGGCCCGCGUCUGAUUAGCUAGUUGGUGAGGUAACGGCUCACCAAGGCGACGAUCAGUAGCUGGUCUGAGAGGAUGACCAGCCACACUGGGACUGAGACACGGCCCAGACUCCUACGGGAGGCAGCAGUGGGGAAUCUUGCGCAAUGGGCGAAAGCCUGACGCAGCCAUGCCGCGUGAAUGAUGAAGGUCUUAGGAUUGUAAAAUUCUUUCACCGGGGACGAUAAUGACGGUACCCGGAGAAGAAGCCCCGGCUAACUUCGUGCCAGCAGCCGCGGUAAUACGAAGGGGGCUAGCGUUGCUCGGAAUUACUGGGCGUAAAGGGCGCGUAGGCGGAUCGUUAAGUCAGAGGUGAAAUCCCAGGGCUCAACCCUGGAACUGCCUUUGAUACUGGCGAUCUUGAGUAUGAGAGAGGUAUGUGGAACUCCGAGUGUAGAGGUGAAAUUCGUAGAUAUUCGGAAGAACACCAGUGGCGAAGGCGACAUACUGGCUCAUUACUGACGCU